RNAcentral lists this ribosomal RNA (301 nucleotides) under uncultured bacterium. RNAcentral's name for it is "partial 16S ribosomal RNA". It matches the Rfam family "Bacterial small subunit ribosomal RNA", at positions 509 to 807 of the family's 1533-position model. The record is from RNAcentral.
CAGCCGCCGCGGUAAAACGAAGGGUGCAAGCGUUACUCGGAAUUACUGGGCGUAAAGCGUGCGUAGGUGGUGGUUUAAGUCCGUUGUGAAAGCCCUGGGCUCAACCUGGGAAUUGCAGUGGAUACUGGGUCACUAGAGUGUGGUAGAGGAUAGUGGAAUUUCCGGUGUAGCAGUGAAAUGCGUAGAGAUCGGAAGGAACAUCUGUGGCGAAGGCGACUAUCUGGGCCAACACUGACACUGAGGCACGAAAGCGUGGGGAGCAAACAGGAUUAGAUACCCCCGUAGUCCCUGUCUCUUAUAC